GGCACAGUCGCGGGAACAGCGCGGAGCAGAGAAGCACCAAAAGAGGCAAACUGAGAUGCAGACAAAUGAUCAUCUGUAUGCUGAUCAUUUUGAAUAGUAAGUACCUGGGUGCUGAUACCGCGAUCAAUGUGACAGGUCCCUGCCCUCAAGGAGCUACGGUCCCUAGGCAAUCUCUCUCGUUUUUGUUUUUUUUAGCUGGGAUUACAGGUGUGCGUCACGAUGCCCAGCUAAUUUUUGUAUUUUUAGUAGAGACGGGGUUUCACCAUGUUGGCCAGGCUGGUCUCAAACUCCUGACCUCAGGUAAUCUGCCUGCCUCGGCCUUCCAAAGUGCUGGGAUUAAAGGCGUGAGCCACUGCGCCCGGCCCUACCCUUGCCACUCUCUUAAACUCCUAGCCCCAUCUUUUCUCUUUUGCCAUCAGGUAAAACCCCAAUUAACCAAAGUAACAGAGUAGGAUUGCCACAGUUAGCUGAGGGUCUGUAGGAGAUUGCAUUUCAUAAAUGACCAUUUUACUCAGAUUUGAUCUCCCACCAUGCCCUUGUGCUGUCACUUCAUAGAGAAACUUGAAGCUGUCACAUGGGAAUCCCCUCAUUCUUCAGCUCCCAAAACUGCAAGCCUUACUUAUAUCUGUUCCUACCUUCCUUCCUCCUCCUAACCAA
This 657-nucleotide small RNA is filed under the name Pongo abelii (Sumatran orangutan). RNAcentral's name for it is "retained intron". The record is from RNAcentral. Lineage: Eukaryota; Metazoa; Chordata; Mammalia; Primates; Hominidae.